CAAAAAACGAUGCGUAGAAGAGUAGCUUGGAUGCCGAUUUGAAGAGAGCCUCAGUUUGGUGCGAUGGGGCAGUCGGAAUGUAAGUGAAAGUAGUCUACAAGUUGUAACUAUGAUUUUCAAUGUAGUAGUUACUGGGAAUGCGCCCAUUACCGCAAUGGAGUAUCACUCAAGCUAGACCGGUCUUCUUGAGCCGUACUUUUCGAGCUGAUUAUUGUGAGAUAAUUGGAAAUCAAGGUGGUAACACGUGUAAACGUCCUUAGC
Molecule: non-coding RNA, 261 nt
Filed under: Lentilactobacillus diolivorans
Lineage: Bacteria; Bacillati; Bacillota; Bacilli; Lactobacillales; Lactobacillaceae
Description: Lactobacillus diolivorans T-box sequence
Rfam family: T-box leader
About the family: Uncharged tRNA acts as the effector for transcription antitermination of genes in the T-box leader family. T-boxes are found upstream of many aminoacyl-tRNA synthetase genes and some amino acid biosynthetic genes usually in Gram-positive bacteria.
Source: RNAcentral